Molecule: ribosomal RNA, 253 nt
Filed under: uncultured bacterium
Lineage: Bacteria
Description: partial 16S ribosomal RNA
Rfam family: Bacterial small subunit ribosomal RNA
Source: RNAcentral
UACGUAGGGACCAAGCGUUGUCCGGAAUCAUUGGGCGUAAAGAGCGUGUAGGCGGCUUGUUAAGUCUUGCGUGAAAUCUCGGGGCUCAACCCCGAGCGGUCGUGAGAAACUGGCAGGCUAGAGUGCGGGAGAGGAGAGUGGAAUUCCUGGUGUAGCGGUGAAAUGCGUAGAGAUUAGGAAGAACACCAGUGGCGAAGGCGACUUACUGGACUGUAACUGACGCUGAGGCAUGAAAGCGUGGGGAUCAAACAGG